ACGUAGGGGGCAAGCGUUGUCCGGAAUGAUUGGGCGUAAAGGGCGCGUAGGCGGCCUGGUAAGUCUGGAGUGAAAGUCCUGCUUUUAAGGUGGGAAUUGCUUUGGAUACUGUCGGGCUUGAGUGCAGGAGAGGUAAGUGGAAUUCCCGGUGUAGCGGUGAAAGGCGUGGAGCUCGGGCGGAGCAGCAGUGGCGAAGGCGACUUACUGGACUGUAACUGCGGCUGAUGCGGUAGAGUGUCGGCAGCAAACAU
Molecule: ribosomal RNA, 251 nt
Filed under: uncultured prokaryote
Description: partial 16S rRNA
Rfam family: Bacterial small subunit ribosomal RNA
Source: RNAcentral